Molecule: unclassified non-coding RNA, 329 nt
Filed under: soil metagenome
Description: partial contains 5.8S ribosomal RNA, internal transcribed spacer 2, and large subunit ribosomal RNA
Rfam family: 5.8S ribosomal RNA (bases 1-120)
Source: RNAcentral
GAUGAAGAACGCAGCGAAAUGCGUUAAGUAGUGUGAAUUGCAGAAUUCAGUGAAUCAUCGAAUCUUUGAACGCACAUUGCGCCCCUUGGUAUCCCGAGGGGCAUGCCUGUUCGAGCGUCAUUUCACCACUCAAGCCUGGCUUGGUGUUGGGCGACGUCCUCUUUGGGGACGCGCCUCGAAACGCUCGGCGGCGUGGCACCGGCUUUAAGCGUAGCAGAAUCUUUCGCUUUGGAAGUCGGGGCCCCGUCUGCCGGAAGACCUGCUCGCAAGGUUGACCUCGGAUCAGGCAGGGAUACCCGCUGAACUUAAGCAUAUCAAUAAGCGGAGGA